AGAGUUUGAUCCUGGCUCAGAGCGAACGUUAGCGGCAGGCUUAACACAUGCAAGUCGAGCGAGAAAGGGGCUUCGGCUCCGAGUAAAGCGGCGGACGGGUGCGUAACACGUGGAUAAUCUGCCUCGUGGCGGGGGACAACAGUCCGAAAGGACUGCUAAUACCGCAUGUCAGGUCGGAAACUCCGGUUUCUGACGAAAAAGAGGGCGUCCGCAAGGAGCUCUCACCACGAGAUGAGUCCGCGUCCCAUCAGCUAGUUGGCGGUGUAAUGGACCACCAAGGCUUAGACGGGUAGCUGGUCUGAGAGGAUGACCAGCCACACUGGGACUGAGACACGGCCCAGACUCCUACGGGAGGCAGCAGUGGGGAAUAUUGGACAAUGGGCGAAAGCCUGAUCCAGCCAUGCCGCGUGAGUGAUGAAGGCCUC
RNAcentral lists this ribosomal RNA (425 nucleotides) under uncultured bacterium. RNAcentral's name for it is "bacterial SSU rRNA". It matches the Rfam family "Bacterial small subunit ribosomal RNA", at positions 8 to 418 of the family's 1533-position model. The record is from RNAcentral.